RNAcentral lists this long non-coding RNA (237 nucleotides) under Zea mays. RNAcentral describes it as "drought-responsive long non-coding RNA". Lineage: Eukaryota; Viridiplantae; Streptophyta; Magnoliopsida; Poales; Poaceae. The record is from RNAcentral.
AUGAUUAUUGUACAAAUUGACAAGAUCACCGGCUCACCGAUGGAGAAAAAAAACAUAUACUAUUUCAGAGAAAAUAAAUCCGGACAAAUUGAACUUUCAUCGGCGCAAACAAUCACUGGGCAUGCAUGUUCCAUCCAUCCAUCCAUGGUCCUCGGUCCAACACUGAAUCUAUCUAUCUCGCGGUUUCGCCGCCAGAGAAGCACCCACAACAGCUGGCGAAGAAGCCCGAUUCCUUAG